Molecule: long non-coding RNA, 219 nt
Filed under: Pan troglodytes (chimpanzee)
Lineage: Eukaryota; Metazoa; Chordata; Mammalia; Primates; Hominidae
Description: long non-coding RNA NONPTRT015894
Source: RNAcentral
GGAACACAGACUCAGUAUAGACUAAGAAUGUGUCUCUAAGUGGGUUACAGGAGGCACAGUAUAGAUACAUUUCACUUUCUAGAACAAUGGGAACGUUUUAUAUCUUCAUCUGGGAACAUGAUUCUUGGGUAUAUACAUAUAUAAAAGUCAUUAAGCGGUGUACUUAAGAUUUGCACAUUUUACUUAAUGUAAAUCAUACCAACCCUGCCGCCUCCAGAA